CCUACGGGUGGCAGCAGUGAGGAAUAUUGGACAAUGGGCGCAAGCCUGAUCCAGCCAUGCCGCGUGCAGGAAGACGGCCCUAUGGGUUGUAAACUGCUUUUCUACGGGAAGAAUAAGGGGCACGUGUGCCCUGAUGACGGUACCGUAGGAAUAAGCACCGGCUAACUCCGUGCCAGCAGCCGCGGUAAUACGGAGGGUGCCAGCGUUAUCCGGAAUCAUUGGGUUUAAAGGGUCCGUAGGCGGGUUGUUAAGUCAGGGGUGAAAGUUUGCCGCUCAACGGUAAAAUUGCCUUUGAUACUGACAGUCUUGAAUUGGUAGGAAGUGGCUGGAAUGAGUAGUGUAGCGGUGAAAUGCAUAGAUAUUACUCAGAACACCGAUUGCGAAGGCAGGUCACUACUACUUUAAUUGACGCUCAGGGACGAAAGCGUGGGGAGCGAACA
RNAcentral lists this ribosomal RNA (440 nucleotides) under uncultured bacterium. RNAcentral's name for it is "bacterial SSU rRNA". It matches the Rfam family "Bacterial small subunit ribosomal RNA", at positions 338 to 774 of the family's 1533-position model. The record is from RNAcentral.